AUUGAACGCUGGCGGCAUGCCUUACACAUGCAAGUCGAACGGCAGCACGGGAGCAAUCCUGGUGGCGAGUGGCGAACGGGUGAGUAAUAUAUCGGAACGUGCCCAGUCGUGGGGAUAACGUAGCGAAAGCUACGCUAAUACCGCAUACGAUCUAUGGAUGAAAGCGGGGGAUCGCAAGACCUCGCGCGAUUGGAGCGGCCGAUACCAGAUUAGGUAGUUGGUGAGGUAAAGGCUCACCAAGCCGACGAUCUGUAGCUGGUCUGAGAGGACGACCAGCCACACUGGGACUGAGACACGGCCCAGACUCCUACGGGAGGCAGCAGUGGGGAAUUUUGGACAAUGGGCGCAAGCCUGAUCCAGCAAUGCCGCGUGCAGGAUGAAGGCCUCGGUUGUAACU
This 397-nucleotide ribosomal RNA is filed under the name uncultured bacterium. RNAcentral describes it as "bacterial SSU rRNA". It matches the Rfam family "Bacterial small subunit ribosomal RNA", at positions 30 to 431 of the family's 1533-position model. The record is from RNAcentral.